This 468-nucleotide ribosomal RNA is filed under the name uncultured bacterium. RNAcentral's name for it is "partial 16S ribosomal RNA". It matches the Rfam family "Bacterial small subunit ribosomal RNA", at positions 28 to 507 of the family's 1533-position model. The record is from RNAcentral.
GACGAACGCUGGCGGCGUGCUUAACACAUGCAAGUCGAACGGAAAGGCCCUGCUUUUGUGGGGUGCUCGAGUGGCGAACGGGUGAGUAACACGUGAGUAACCUGCCCUUGACUUUGGGAUAACUUCAGGAAACUGGGGCUAAUACCGGAUAGGAGCUCCUGCUGCAUGGUGGGGGUUGGAAAGCUUCGGCGGUUGGGGAUGGACUGGCGGCUUAUCAGCUUGUUGGUGGGGUAGUGGCUUACCAAGGCUUUGACGGGUAGCCGGCCUGAGAGGGUGACCAGCCACAUGGGGACUGAGAUACGGCGCAGACGCCUACGGGAGGCAGCAGUGGGGAAUAUUGCACAAUGGGCGGAAGCCUGAUGCAGCAACGCCGCGUGCGGGAUGACGGCCUUCGGGUUGUAAACCGCUUUAGCCCGUGACGAAGCGGUAGUGACGGUAAUGGGUAAAGAAGCACCGGCUAACUACGUG